This 379-nucleotide unclassified non-coding RNA is filed under the name uncultured Gammaproteobacteria bacterium. RNAcentral describes it as "contains 16S-23S intergenic spacer region". The record is from RNAcentral. Lineage: Bacteria; Pseudomonadati; Pseudomonadota; Gammaproteobacteria.
UCCGGUUCUUCACCAGCAGUCUCCUUAGAGUCCCCGCCUUUACGCGUUGGCAACUAAGGAUAGGGGUUGCGCUCGUUACGGGACUUAACCCAACAUCUCACAACACGAGCUGACGACAGCCAUGCAGCACCUGUCUCACAGUUCCUUUCGGCACCCCAGCAUCUCUGCUAGGUUCUGUGGAUGUCAAGGGUAGGUAAGGUUCUUCGCGUUGCAUCGAAUUAAACCACAUGCUCCACCGCUUGUGCGGGCCCCCGUCAAUUCCUUUGAGUUUUAACCUUGCGGCCGUACUCCCCAGGCGGAGAACUUAUCGCGUUAGCUUCGAUACUUAUGCGCUCUCGCACACCAACAUCUAGUUCUCAUCGUUUACAGCGUGGACUAC